GGCUUAGAAGCAGCCACUCAUUAAAAGAGUGCGUAAUAGCUCACUGGUCGAGUGACCCUGCGCCGAAAAUUCAACGGGGCUAAACAAUAUACCGAAGCUUGGGAUUCUAAAGUAAUUUAGAGUGGUAGGAGAGCGUCGAAUAAGGGGUGAAGUCAGAGCGGAAGCGCUGGUGGACUUUAUUCGAGUGAGAAUGCCGGAAUGAGUAGCGAGAAUUAUGUGAGAAUCAUAAUGGCCGAAAAUCUAAGGUUUCCUGAGGAAGGUUCGUCCGCUCAGGGUAAGCCGGGGGCUAAGGCGAGGCGGAGACGCGUAGCCGAUGCACAUACGGUUGAAAUUCCGUAGCCACCGAAAGAUUUAAAUACAGGGACGCUUUAGAAGUGAUGUUGCCGGGCGAUGGUUGACCCGGUCGUAAGGGAUCGAAAAUGAGUAGAGAAGUCAUCAUGGAAAGAGACAAGAAAAGCUGUAUGGAUAUCUUAGGUGCCCGUACCGCAAACCGACACAGGUAGAUAGGAAGAAGAUUCUAAGGCCAACGGGAGAAGGGUUGUUAAGGAACUCGGCAAGUUGACCCCGUAACUUAGGGAUAAGGGGUGCUCAAGUGAUUGAGCCGCAGAGAAUAGGCCCAGGCGACUGUUUAGCAAAAACACAGGUCUCUGCUAAAUCGAAAGAUGACGUAUAGGGGCUGACACCUGCCCGGUGCCGGAAGGUUAAGAGGAGAUGUGAGAGCAUUGAAUUGAAGCCCCGGUAAACGGCGGCCGUAACUAUAACGGUCCUAAGGUAGCGAAAUUCCUUGUCAGGUAAGUUCUGACCCGCACGAAAGGUGUAACGAUCUGGGCACUGUCUCAACAACCCGCCCGGCGAAAUUGUAGUACCGGUGAAGAUGCCGGUUACCCGCGACUAGACGGAAAGACCCCAUGGAGCUUUACUGUAGCCUAAUAUUGGAUUUCGGUAUUUCACGUACAGGAUAGGUGGGAGACUGGGAAGCACAGGCGUCAGCUUGUGUGGAGUCGACCUUGGGAUACCACUCUUGGAGUGCUGGAAUUCUAACCUGCGGCUUUGAAGCAAGUCGGGGGACAUUGUUAGGUGGGCAGUUUGACUGGGGCGGUCGCCUCCUAAAGAGUAACGGAGGCGCUCAAAGGUUCGCUCUGCAUGGAUGGAAACCAUGCGUCAGAGUGUAAACGCAAAAGCGAGCCUAACUGCGAGAAUGACGGUUCGAGCAGUAACGAAAGUUGGAGUUAGUGAUCCGGCGGUAUGUGAAUGGAAAUGCCGUCGCUCAACGGAUAAAAGCUACCCUGGGGAUAACAGGCUGAUCUCCCCCAAGAGUCCACAUCGACGGGGAGGUUUGGCACCUCGAUGUCGGCUCAUCGCAUCCUGGGGCUGAAUUCGGUCCCAAGGGUUUGGCUGUUCGCCAAUUAAAGCGGUACGCGAGCUGGGUUCAGAACGUCGUGAGACAGUUCGGUCCCUAUCUGUCGUGGGCGUAGGAUAUUUGCAAGGAGCUGUCCCUAGUACGAGAGGACCGGGAUGGACGCACCUCUGGUGCACCAGUUGUCACGCCAGUGGCACAGCUGGGCAGCUAUGUGCGGAACGGAUAAACGCUGAAGGCAUCUAAGCGUGAAGCCGCCCUUAAGAUAAGAUAUCCCUUCUGUUUACAGAGUAAGACCCCUUGAAGACUACAAGGUUGAUAGGCUCAAAGUGUAAGCACGGUGACGUGUUUAGCUAGCGAGUACUAAUCGGUCGAGGGCUUAACCUU
RNAcentral lists this ribosomal RNA (1744 nucleotides) under human gut metagenome. Its description in RNAcentral is "bacterial LSU rRNA". It matches the Rfam family "Bacterial large subunit ribosomal RNA", at positions 1103 to 2925 of the family's 2925-position model. The record is from RNAcentral.